AGAGUUUGAUCAUGGCUCAGGACGAACGCUGACGGUGUGCUUUAGGCAUGCAAGUCGAACGAGAAAGCCCUUCGGGGUGAGUAGAGUGGCGAACGGGUGAGUAACACGUGGGCAACCUGCCCCUCGCAGGGGGAUAACCGGAGGAAACUCCGGCUAAUACCCCGUAAGCUUUCAGGGUCGCAUGGUCCUGAAAGGAAAGGUAGCUUCGGCCAUCCGGCGAGGGAUGGGCCCGCGGUGCAUUAGCUAGUUGGUGGGGUAAAGGCCCACCAAGGCGACGAUGCGUAGCUGGUCUGAGAGGAUGAUCAGCCACACUGGGACUGAGACACGGCCCAGACUCCUACGGGAGGCAGCAGCCAGGAAUCUUGGGCAAUGGGCGAAAGCCUGACCCAGCAACACCGUGUGGGCGAUGAAGGCCUUCGGGUCGUAAAGCCCUGUUGAUAGGGACGAAGGGCGAAGGGUUAAUAGCCCCUAGCCUGACGGUACCUUUCGAGGAAGCCCCGGCUAACUACGUGCCAGCAGCGGCGGUAAUAC
Molecule: ribosomal RNA, 531 nt
Filed under: uncultured bacterium
Lineage: Bacteria
Description: bacterial SSU rRNA
Rfam family: Bacterial small subunit ribosomal RNA
Source: RNAcentral